Molecule: ribosomal RNA, 368 nt
Filed under: uncultured organism
Description: bacterial LSU rRNA
Rfam family: Bacterial large subunit ribosomal RNA
Source: RNAcentral
CUUUACUGUAGUUUAAAAUUGAAUUUGGAUUUUUUUAGCGCAGUCUAAGUGGGAGGCUUUGAAAAUAUUCUUUUGGGAAUAUUAGAGCCGAUAGUGAGAGACCACUCUAUGAAAAUUAAUUUUCUAAGGGCGUUCCUUGAAACAGGACGCUUAACAGUUUUAGAUGGGCAGUUUGACUGGGGCGGUCGUCUCUUAAAAAGUAACAGAGAUGUGCAAAGGUUUCUUCAGACUGUAUGGAAAUCAGUUAUUGAGUAUAAAGGCAUAAAGAAGCUUGACUGUAAGACUUACAAGUCGAACAGGAGCGAAAGCUGGCCUUAGUGAUCCGACGGUGCUGUGUGGAAAGGCCGUCGCUAAACGGAUAAAAGUUA